Molecule: ribosomal RNA, 326 nt
Filed under: uncultured eukaryote
Lineage: Eukaryota
Description: partial 18S ribosomal RNA
Rfam family: Eukaryotic small subunit ribosomal RNA
Source: RNAcentral
CCCUUAGAUGUUCUGGGCCGCACGCGCGCUACACUGAUGCAUUCAACGAGUCCAACCUUGACCGAGAGGUCCGGAUAAUCUUUGAAACUGCAUCGUGAUGGGGCUAGAUUAUUGCAAUUAUUAAUCUUCAACGAGGAAUGCCUAGUAAGCGUGAUUCAUCAAAUCGCGUUGAUUACGUCCCUGCCCUUUGUACACACCGCCCGUCGCUCCUACCGAUUGAGUGUGUUGGUGAGGAGUUUGGAUUGGCCUCGGAAGGUGGUUCGCCACCGUCCGUAGCUGAGAAGUUCUCCAAACCGCCCCACUUAGAGGAAGGAGAAGUCGUAACA